UGGGGGAUAUUGCACAAUGGGCGAAAGCCUGAUGCAGCGACGCCGCGUGGGGGAUGAAGGCCUUCGGGUUGUAAACUUCUUUUGCUCUGAACAAGGCAUGCUAAUGGGUGUGUUGAGUGUAGGGGUUGAUUAGCGCCGGCUAACUACGUGCCAGCAGCCGCGGUAAUACGUAGGGCGCGAGCGUUGUCCGGAAUUAUUGGGCGUAAAGGGCUUGUAGGUGGCUGGUUGCGUCUGUCGUGAAAGCUCAUGGCUUAACUGUGGGUUUGCGGUGGGUACGGGCUGGCUUGAGUGCAGUAGGGGAGGCUGGAAUUCCUGGUGUAGCGGUGGAAUGCGCAGAUAUCAGGAGGAAUACCGGUGGCGAAGGCGGGUCUCUGGGCUGUUACUGACACUGAGGCGCGAAAGCAUGGGGAGCGAACAGG
Molecule: ribosomal RNA, 419 nt
Filed under: bacterium
Lineage: Bacteria
Description: partial 16S ribosomal RNA
Rfam family: Bacterial small subunit ribosomal RNA
Source: RNAcentral